AGGAUUAACGCUGGCGGCGUGCCUGACACAUGCAAGUCGAACGAGGCCGCAAGGCCGAGUGGCGGACGGGUGAGUAACACGUGACCAACCAACCUCGAAGUUGGGAAUAGCUCUGCGAAAGUAGGGGUAAUACCGAAUGUGGCCCAGGGCGGGCAUCCGCCUUGGUCUAAAGAUUCAUCGCUUCGAGACGGGGUCGCGGCCUAUUAGCUUGUUGGUGAGGUAACGGCUCACCAAGGCGAUGAUGGGUAGCUGGUCUGAGAGGACGACCAGCCACACUGGGACUGAGACACGGCCCAGACUCCUACGGGAGGCAGCAGUGAGGAAUCUUCCGCAAUGGGCGAAAGCCUGACGGAGCAACGCCGCGUGUGGGAUGAAGGCUCUAGGGUUGUAAACCACUGGUCGGAGGGGACGAUCGUGACGGUACCCUCCAAGAACGCCCCGGCUAACUACGCGCCAGCAGCCGC
RNAcentral lists this ribosomal RNA (464 nucleotides) under uncultured bacterium. RNAcentral's name for it is "SSU rRNA". It matches the Rfam family "Bacterial small subunit ribosomal RNA", at positions 26 to 518 of the family's 1533-position model. The record is from RNAcentral.